Molecule: ribosomal RNA, 250 nt
Filed under: uncultured bacterium
Lineage: Bacteria
Description: partial 16S ribosomal RNA
Rfam family: Bacterial small subunit ribosomal RNA
Source: RNAcentral
UAAGGAAUAUUGGACAAUGGACGGAAGUCUGAUCCAGCCAUGCCGCGUGCAGGAUGAAGGCGCUCAGCGUUGUAAACUGCUUUUGGAUGGGAAUAAUAACCUCGAUUCAUCGGGGCUUGAAGGUACCAUCAGAAUAAGCACCGGCUAACUCCGUGCCAGCAGCCGCGGUAAUACGGAGGGUGCAAGCGUUAUCCGGAAUCACUGGGUUUAAAGGGUGCGUAGGCGGCGCGAUAAGUCAGUUGUGAAAUUC